GUUUUAACCCGCUAGAGUCGCACACUAAAAGCAAAUGUUUGUCUAUCAGGAGGCAUUUUAAACCAAAGUUUAGUCCCGACUAAAUAACAGACGUGCUGGAGAACACGUCCCAGCGGUUUAAACGCUAGCUGACGCUGUCGUCCUGGUAAAUUUAACGUGACGACGCAGUUGAUUACAAAUAUAUGCAGAUGCAUUUAUUUUAAUGAUGUAUAAAUCAUUCAUUCGUUAAUGCGAAAUUGGUCGAUCACAUUUUACACGUCUAACGUUAAAUCAAAUUACUUUGAUAAAUUUGACUGUGAUCGAGGAAUAUAUCACAGUUAGUAAGUAAUUGCAUCUUAUUUUGCAAUAUCCAACAAAAUUGACCCAAAUUAGCCAAAUCAAAUUUUAAUAGGCUCUACUUACAUUAUUGACACGCGGUCAUAGUUGAGCUAAGUACCGACUUUCACUAGCCAAACGUUAACCAAAGUCUUUGUGAUAUUUGUAUUCAAUAUUAUAUGUUGAUGAACAGUGAACUAUGAUUAUGAACUAUCAUGGAGAUGACGUUUUCAAGAUACUAGUUGCAAAUAGUUGAAACCUGUUGAUAUCUGCCUUAUUAUUGCCUCUUUCCUCAGCCUGUCUGCUCUAAUAAAUAAGUCAAAUAGUUGUACAUUUAGCUUUGACUCCUAUAGGGUAGGCCUACUAGUGAUGCCGCGACUAUGAAAAUAUUCACCCACAUCCCAGCCAGAUCUGAACUUGAAACCUGUCAACAGGAUAAUCAACUGAUAAACUAAACAACGUUUUUGGGGGGAGAUUAACUGAUGUUUAUGAAUGUGCCAAGGCUCUAUGGUGAAACAGGUCUGUGCUCCUUUGGGGCAAGCGUCGAGGGCCACUGGGUCAUGUCCUCCAGGGUGUCGGUUAGGAGGAUCACGGUCAGGCUCAUGGCUCUGAAUCCAGGACCACUCAGUGUCACCUUCUCUACCCAGAACCGUUCCUACAUCCAGGCAUCGACCCACCCACCACAACCCUAGCCUGCCUUCAGAGACCCUGGAUGGCCCCACAGCAAAGCCUUUUGGCAGCAGGGACGACAGCAAGGCCAUGAGAGGUGACGAUCCGAGGGGUGUGUCAUGGCUGGCCAUUAAAUCUUGUUGAGAAGAAAAUAAAAAGUUAACACUACAUAAUAGUCCUAUUCUCCAGUUCCACAAUCUAUAUUAUCAUUGCCCACAUCAUUAUAUUGUGGAAAAUGAGAAUUGACAACGAAACUCGUUUAUACAAGAGUAACUAUAAGAUGUCAAAGCAAAGGAAACAUGCAAAGCUAUAAGAGCACAGUGUGUGUAACAAGUGGUAAUUUGGCAGUGCACAUUAUAUAUAUAGCGCCAUGGCUCUUUUGAAUUAAACAAUAGUAAAAUAAAUAGAUAAAUAGAAAAUAAGGUAAGUGGACAUAACUUCAUGAUAAAAAAACAACGAAUAAAUAGUAAAUAAACAGGCAACGCAAUCUCAGCACUAACUCAGGGAAAUGCAGUUAUGGCCAGCAAUCUCAGCCUGGCUGUCAGUGGGUUGGCUGUGCUAGUGAUUAACUGGUAGGUCAAUUAGGUCGAAUGGAGGUGAAGCUAUUUCACGUUCAAAUUAAUUAAUCUGUAUACAGGUAGGUGCAUCACAUUUGUUAAAUACAACGUUUUCAGCAAGCAAAGCUACCAGUAAUAACAGGCUGUAAUGUAACGUUAGUUGUUUUAGCGCUAUCAGCUAUUCGUCAACUACGGAGUGAUUAAGUAGAUGCUAAAUACCUGGGUUAAUAAAGGUAACUAACCAACUCCUUCGGAGUCAGUGCAGAUUUUUGUAUUAUUAAUUAACGACUUUUCUUCAAGAGAAACUCUGGGAAAGAUCACGUUUUACAGCAUAAUUGAACAAGCGGAAGUGCCCUUUGUUAUUUGUCCGAUGGGAAAACGAGUAGCGAUAUGUCGUUCCUAUUAAUGCAUCUGGGUGAAUACAUGGGUGAAAAGCAUUCAUAAAGUAAGAAGCACAAUUUUGGAAUGUUGUUCAUGGUUUUCAUUGGUAGAAAUAAGCACCCUAGGAAACACGUUUUCAUUAUGAAUAUCUACUGAGAGUAAGGAUGUAUAAUGCCUUUAUUCUUUAUUUAUUUUUUGUGUGAAAACACACCAUUCUAUUUAGGCCUACGUACAAUACGAUUAUUGUACACAUAUUGGCCGGUAACGUAGGCUACUAUAACUCAUUAUAACUCACUAGAGGCCUAUGUUUAUCAUUGUUAUAUUUUGUGAGGAUACAAGUAAGGUUUACAUCUCAUGGAGAGGUAAAUAUCUAAAAAUAAUAACGCUUUAAAACAUCUAAUUUCAACCAAAUAUUUAAGUUAACCACAGAGCCAGUUCUCCCUUCAUAAUAAGGUUUAGCAUCAAUUCAAUGUUUACAUUAUAUUAUAUUUGAUAUUCCUUAAACUGUAGAUGGCAGCAAAGUAAUUUCAGUGAGGCAUUUUAGUAAAAGAAAAAAAAACGUAUGUGUUUGGGGAUUAGGGUAGGCCUUUAAAGGCAAAAAGAAUACCAUCUGCAGAAAAGCUACACAAGCCAUACAAUAGAUUCAAUCUACAAUGAGUACACACACACACACACACACACACACACACACACACACACACACACACACACACACACACACACACACACACACACACACACACACACAGACACACAGACAAACACACACACACACACACA
Gadus macrocephalus (Pacific cod) is the source of this 2702-nucleotide long non-coding RNA. RefSeq lists it as uncharacterized. The record is from RefSeq and is a predicted model, not a curated record. Lineage: Eukaryota; Metazoa; Chordata; Actinopteri; Gadiformes; Gadidae. The transcript has 3 exons.